GCUAGACUGACUGAACUAUUAUAAAGCUGAAUGAUACAUUCUGCUAGACUGACUGAACUAUUAUAAAGCUGAAUGAUACAUUCUGCUAGACUGACUGAACUAUUAUAAAGCUGAAUGAUACAUUCUGCUAGACUGACUGAACUAUUAUUGCUAGAGAGCUGUUUUCUUUCUGCCAGCCAGCAAGGCAGCCUGACUGGCUCCCUCCCUAAUGGCACCCUGUUCCCUAUUACAGAGCCCUGGUCAAAAGUAGUUCACUAUAUAGGGAAUUGGUUGCUAUUUGGGACAGAGACUGUGUAUGGUUGCCUGUAGGCCUCUAAAGUAGACUGAUGCCAAGAGACAAACUAAAUCCUAGGAGUUGCAUACUCUUAAGUGACCUAAUAAUUGAUGUGUAUUAAUCUUCUCUAAGAGAAAAUACUUUUUUUUAUUUCAGAAGAUUGUUGACACAGACAGAUGUCUGAGGAAAGGAGGGAGAGAUGGAUGGGGGGUUAUAGGUAGAAGUGUAAGGACUGGGGAGAACACUGGAAAGGGGGGAUACUGGUAUUACGCAGCUCAAUGAAUGUGUGGGGCCUAUGUGAUCUAAUGAACUCACUUCAACAAAGGCAUUGUUGUAUCUAAGCUAAUCACACAGGAAAGCUACUUUUUCUAUAAUAAAUCUAAAUUUUCAAAUAAUCAUAAGGUUGUUAGCUUGUUUUGGGAGAGGUGGGAAGGGGCUAACCUCGUACGAACCAUAGGAAGGGGCAGCAGUGAUGGUGUGUGUGAAAAGAAGACUGCAGUGCAAUCACUGUAAAGUGACUGGGUGUCUUGAAAAAGAGCUUAAACUAAAAUGUAUGAUUUAUUAUUACUUCCACACUGCUUGGAAUGUCUGAUGCAACCAUGGUGAUGUAACUAACUCCACUCAAUAUGAUAUUCCAUUGAGGUUAAGGCUGCAGGUGCAAUUGUGAUAGCAUUGUUCCAGUCACCAUUACCUAACAUUGCAGAAUGUUGUGUAUGAUGUCAUAAAGACAGAUUGUUACUUCACAGCAAAAUUCAAAACAACUGGGACUUGGAAAUCUCAGACUUCGGGGGGGUGGAGCCUUUACCUCCACUGACAUCUUGAC
Molecule: long non-coding RNA, 1097 nt
Filed under: Salmo salar (Atlantic salmon)
Lineage: Eukaryota; Metazoa; Chordata; Actinopteri; Salmoniformes; Salmonidae
Description: lncRNA (ENSSSAG00000111966.1)
Source: RNAcentral